AAAGGUUUGGUCCUAGCCUUAUUAUCAAUUUUUUCUUGAAUUACACAUGCAAGUCUCAGCACACCCGUGAGGAUACCCUUAAAACCUCAACCAGACUAAGGAGCCGGCAUCAGGCACAACAUCUGCCCACAACGCCUAGUCCUACCACGCCCCCAAGGGCAUUCAGCAGUGAUAAAUAUUGCCAAUAAGCGACAGCUUGACCCAGUUAAAGAAAAUAGAGCCGGCCAACUCGGUGCCAGCCGCCGCGGCUAAACCGCAUGGGCUCAAAUUGAUAGUUACCGGCGUUAAGCGUGAUUAAAGUCUCCACCACAAUUAAGGUAAAACCCGUACUUAGCCGUGAAAAGCUUGAACCGGGGAAAAUCAUAAACGAAAGUUACCCUAAUAAAUCACUUGAAUACACGACAGCUAGA
This 410-nucleotide ribosomal RNA is filed under the name Quasipaa exilispinosa (Hong Kong spiny frog). Its description in RNAcentral is "partial 12S ribosomal RNA". Lineage: Eukaryota; Metazoa; Chordata; Amphibia; Anura; Dicroglossidae. The record is from RNAcentral.